This 482-nucleotide ribosomal RNA is filed under the name uncultured bacterium. RNAcentral's name for it is "partial 16S ribosomal RNA". It matches the Rfam family "Bacterial small subunit ribosomal RNA", at positions 30 to 507 of the family's 1533-position model. The record is from RNAcentral.
AUUGAACGCUGGCGGCAUGCUUUACACAUGCAAGUCGAACGGUAACAGCACUUCGGUGGCUGACGAGUGGCGAACGGGUGAGUAAUACAUCGGAACGUGCCUAGUAGUGGGGGAUAACUACUCGAAAGAGUAGCUAAUACCGCAUGAGAUCUAAGGAUGAAAGCAGGGGACCUUCGGGCCUUGCGCUACUAGAGCGGCUGAUGGCAGAUUAGGUAGUUGGUGGGAUAAAAGCUUACCAAGCCGACGAUCUGUAGCUGGUCUGAGAGGACGACCAGCCGCACUGGGACUGAGACACGGCCCAGACUCCUACGGGAGGCAGCAGUGGGGAAUUUUGGACAAUGGGCGCAAGCCUGAUCCAGCAAUGCCGCGUGCAGGAUGAAGGCCUUCGGGUUGUAAACUGCUUUUGUACGGAACGAAAAGCCCUCUUCUAAUACAGGAGGGUCAUGACGGUACCGUAAGAAUAAGCACCGGCUAACUACGUG